UCCAAAAUCUUCUCAACGAACAAAUCUCUCCACACUGAUCCAUUCCUUUGAGUCUCAAGUAUUUUGCUAACGCAAGAAGCUCAGGAUCUCUCUUCUUCCUUCUUCUUAGAACUCCCACAAACCCAGUUCCGUCUUUUAAUUCCAAACACCUCCGCCGUCAUCAGAACAAGAAUGGAUUCAAUGGAGCUCACUCGCGUCUUCCAGAUGUUUGAUAGAAAUGGUGAUGGGCGAAUAAGCAAGAAAGAGUUGAAUGACUCGUUGGAGAAUCUGGGUAUCUUUAUCCCUGAUCCAGAGUUAACCCAGAUGAUUCAAAAUAUAGAUGUUAAUGGAGAUGGGUGUGUUGAUAUCGAUGAGUUUGGUGCUUUGUAUCGAUCGAUUAUGGAUGAGCGAGACGAGGAAGAAGAGGAGGACAUGAAGGAAGCCUUCAAGGUGUUUGAUCAAAAUGGUGAUGGGUUUAUUACUGUUGAUGAAUUGAGAUCUGUGCUUGCUGCUCUUGGGCUUAAGCAAGGGAGGACUUUAGAGGAUUGCAAGACAAUGAUCAUGAAGGUUGAUGUUGAUGG
This 560-nucleotide long non-coding RNA is filed under the name Manihot esculenta (cassava). RNAcentral's name for it is "long non-coding RNA (MESC_LNC002087)". Lineage: Eukaryota; Viridiplantae; Streptophyta; Magnoliopsida; Malpighiales; Euphorbiaceae. The record is from RNAcentral.